This 468-nucleotide ribosomal RNA is filed under the name uncultured bacterium. RNAcentral describes it as "partial 16S ribosomal RNA". It matches the Rfam family "Bacterial small subunit ribosomal RNA", at positions 28 to 507 of the family's 1533-position model. The record is from RNAcentral.
GACGAACGCUGGCGGCGUGCUUAACACAUGCAAGUCGAACGGAAAGGCCCUGCUUUUGUGGGGUGCUCGAGUGGCGAACGGGUGAGUAACACGUGAGUAACCUGCUCUUGACUUUGGGAUAACUUCAGGAAACUGGGGCUAAUACCGGAUAGGAGCUCCUGCUGCAUGGUGGGGGUUGGAAAGUUUCGGCGGUUGGGGAUGGACUCGCGGCUUAUCAGCUUGUUGGUGGGGUAGUGGCUUACCAAGGCUUUGACGGGUAGCCGGCCUGAGAGGGUGACCGGCCACAUUGGGACUGUGAUACGGCCCAGACUCCUACGGGAGGCAGCAGUGGGGAAUAUUGCACAAUGGGCGGAAGCCUGAUGCAGCAAUGCCGCGUGCGGGAUGACGGCCUUCGGGUUGUAAACCGCUUUCGCCUGUGACGAAGCGUGAGUGACGGUAAUGGGUAAAGAAGCACCGGCUAACUACGUG